UACGAGUUUGAUCCUGGCUCAGGAUGAACGCUAGCGGCAGGCUUAAUACAUGCAAGUCAAGGGGGUAGCAAUACAACCGGCGCACGGGUGAGUAACGCGUACACAACAUACCAUAUACUGGGGUAUAGCUUCGGGAAACUGGAGAUAAUCCCCCAUAACAUUGCGAGAGGGCAUCUGAUUGCAAUUAAAGUUUCGACGGUAUAUGAUUGGUGUGCGUUUGAUUAGCUUGUUGGUAGGGUAACGGCCUACCAAGGCGACGAUCAAUAGCUGGCGUGAGAGCGCGACCAGCCACACUGGAACUGAGACACGGUCCAGACUCCUACGGGAGGCAGCAGUAGGGAAUAUUGGACAAUGGGCGAAAGCCUGAUCCAGCCAUGCCGCGUGAUAGAUGAAGGCCCUCUGGGUUGUAAAUAUCUUUUAUCUGGGAAGAAACUCCUCUAUUCUUAGAGGCCUGACGGUACCAGAGGAAUAAGCACCGGCUAACUCCGUG
This 490-nucleotide ribosomal RNA is filed under the name uncultured bacterium. RNAcentral describes it as "bacterial SSU rRNA". It matches the Rfam family "Bacterial small subunit ribosomal RNA", at positions 1 to 507 of the family's 1533-position model. The record is from RNAcentral.